Long non-coding RNA from Gadus morhua (Atlantic cod), 1367 nucleotides. RefSeq lists it as uncharacterized. The transcript is spliced from 2 exons. The record is from RefSeq and is a predicted model, not a curated record. NCBI's taxonomy places the organism in Eukaryota, Metazoa, Chordata, Actinopteri, Gadiformes, Gadidae.
CCCCCCAACAUCCGUACGACCGGCCAGCAAAUAGCUCGGCACGGCAGCCGUGUCCGAAAGAGAUUGGUUCUGGUCCCGGUCAGAGGAAACACUUAUCUCUGGGCCAUUACCCUUCAUGCACAAUGAACCAAAUGAAAGAUAGGGUCCGUAAUCUGGUCCCGGUCAGACCUGAGAUAAGGUGGACGCCAGCUGCUGUGGGGGGGCCUGUAUGUAAAUCCGAUAAACAAAAGUGCUCCGGAGUGGAAGAACGAUGAUCAGGGCGGUCCCAGACUGGUCUCCAACCCGUCGCCUUCCUCAACACAGAGCAGGACGGACAUGGAGCUGGCCGAAUCAAGCUCUGAAAUGCGGUUCACCUCAUACACACGAGUCCUUGCUGACCACACAGGACCAUGCCAGGCGAUGUGAGCGCUGAGGCGGUCGUACGUCAGAGCGUAGCGCGCUGAGCGGUGGCGGGGGCUCCGUUGUGGCGCUCCAUGAGUCCUCUCCAUGAGUCCUCCUGCCCGUAAUUGGCUGAGUGUCCCCGACACCAGAGCCACGUGCAGAACACCCUGAUGAGGACCAGAGCCUCUGGCUGUGAACAGUCUUCAUUAGGGGCCGAGGGGCCCUCUCUCUCAGUCCGCUGUUGUCCUUUGUCGUUAACACACUUCUUUUUCACCAACUCUUUCACAGCCAAGAAUCACUCGGCCAAAUGAUUUGAAAUAGAGAGGGCUUUCUUUCAUUGGAUGAAUGAUUCAGAAUGAUGGUGGGUUCUGAUUGGCCUGACGAUAAGAUCAAAGCAGGGUUCUGAUUAGCCGUAGGUUAAAACAAAAGGCACUCUGAUUGGUGAUCGAUCUGAAUAAAGGCAGUCGUGAUUGGUCAAAAGAUUUGAAUGAUUGGCUGAGGGAUAAUAAUAAAGAUGGUAUCGAUGGUAUCAUGGAAGUCUUGGCAGAGCGGUUCUCCAGUUGGCCAGCAGUCCAGAGAUGAUUUUAAUGUAUUGUCAUUGAUAUCUUGUACCAAUGUACUGAAGGAGGCUCCUCUUAGCGUUGGCGUCAACCCAGGGGCGGAGUCUGGGGCGACGUCCAAAACGAGAAUUAUAAAAAAAAGGCUGCUCAACGAUGGAACCAGCCAGCUCCAUAACCCUGCUGGCAGGAGGAUCUCUGACCUGGCUGACGCAACGGUUGGACAGAGCAGCAGCUGUGCUGUUUGACCCCAGACCAACACAGACCAUCCUCAGUGUCCAGAGUUGACUGGUGGGAGAUGACCUGUUUUCCUACGAUGAUGCAUAACCCCUACCUGCUGCUCCAUGACCUGCGUCUGCGUUCACUGUCGCUCACCCUGCAUAAAAGCAUCUCCAAAAUGACUCAAUAAACACAAAACUUGAAGCAUAA